CGGGAAUUUUGCGCAAUGGACGAAAGUCUGACGCAGCAACGCCGCGUGAGGGAUGAAGGCCUUCGGGUUGUAAACCUCUUUUCUCAGGGACGAUAAUGACGGUACCUGAGGAAUAAGCCACGGCUAACUACGUGCCAGCAGCCGCGGUAAUACGUAGGUGGCGAGCGUUGUCCGGAUUUACUGGGCGUAAAGAGCGCGCAGGCGGUCGUGCAAGUCGCGUGUGAAAGCCCCCGGCUCAACUGGGGAGGGUCACGCGAUACUGCUCGACUCGAAGGCAGGAGAGGGAAGUGGAAUUCCCGGUGUAGUGGUGAAAUGCGUAGAUAUCGGGAGGAACACCAGUGGCGAAGGCGACUUCCUGGCCUGUUCUUGACGCUGAGGCGCGAAAGCUAGGGUAGCAAACGGGAUUAGAUACCCCGGUAGUCCUAGCCGUAAACGAUGGACACUAGGUGUUGGUGGUAUCAACCCCGCCAGUGCCGAAGCUAACGCAUUAAGUGUCCCGCCUGGGGAGUACGGCCGCAAGGCUA
RNAcentral lists this ribosomal RNA (524 nucleotides) under uncultured Acidobacteriota bacterium. Its description in RNAcentral is "bacterial SSU rRNA". It matches the Rfam family "Bacterial small subunit ribosomal RNA", at positions 356 to 896 of the family's 1533-position model. Lineage: Bacteria; Pseudomonadati; Acidobacteriota. The record is from RNAcentral.